UAGUAAUCAUGAAUUCUGAAGAAAUCCAUUUUGAUUUAUGCUUUUUGGCAAUUUCCAAGAGGAAUUUUACAAUUUGUUGUAAGAUAUGUGAAAUAUAACUCUGUGAGAGUGUGUGUGUGUGCACGUGUGUGAGUGGGUGUCGGGGGCGCUCCACACUAC
This 159-nucleotide small RNA is filed under the name Marmota monax (woodchuck). The record is from RNAcentral. Lineage: Eukaryota; Metazoa; Chordata; Mammalia; Rodentia; Sciuridae.